GUACACAAAAAUGCACAUACUGUGAGCUCGAUGAGUAGGGCGGGACACGUGGUAUCCUGUCUGAAUAUGGGGGGACCAUCCUCCAAGGCUAAAUACUCCUGACUGACCGAUAGUGAACCAGUACCGUGAGGGAAAGGCGAAAAGAACCCCGGCGAGGGGAGUGAAAAAGAACCUGAAACCGUGUACGUACAAGCAGUGGGAGCCUCUUAAUGGGGUGACUGCGUACCUUUUGUAUAAUGGGUCAGCGACUUAUAUUCUGUAGCAAGGUUAACCGAAUAGGGGAGCCGAAGGGAAACCGAGUCUUAACUGGGCGUUAAGUUGCAGGGUAUAGACCCGAAACCCGGUGAUCUAGCCAUGGGCAGGUUGAAGGUUGGGUAACACUAACUGGAGGACCGAACCGACUAAUGUUGAAAAAUUAGCGGAUGACUUGUGGCUGGGGGUGAAAGGCCAAUCAAACCGGGAGAUAGCUGGUUCUCCCCGAAAGCU
This 486-nucleotide ribosomal RNA is filed under the name Escherichia coli. RNAcentral's name for it is "partial 23S ribosomal RNA". It matches the Rfam family "Bacterial large subunit ribosomal RNA", at positions 375 to 867 of the family's 2925-position model. The record is from RNAcentral. Lineage: Bacteria; Pseudomonadati; Pseudomonadota; Gammaproteobacteria; Enterobacterales; Enterobacteriaceae.